UACGGAGGAUGCGAGCGUUACCCGGAUUUAUUGGGUUUAAAGGGUGCGUAGGCGGACUGUCAAGUCAGCGGUAAAAUUGAGAGGCUCAACCUCUUCCCGCCGUUGAAACUGGUGGUCUUGAGUGGAUGAGAAGUACGCGGAAUGCGUGGUGUAGCGGUGAAAUGCAUAGAUAUCACGCAGAACUCCGAUUGCGAAGGCAGCGUACCGGCAUCCAACUGACGCUGAGGCACGAAAGCGUGGGGAUCAAACAGG
Molecule: ribosomal RNA, 252 nt
Filed under: uncultured bacterium
Lineage: Bacteria
Description: partial 16S ribosomal RNA
Rfam family: Bacterial small subunit ribosomal RNA
Source: RNAcentral